UACGGAGGGCGCAAGCGUUGUUCGGAAUCACUGGGCGUAAAGCGCGUGUAGGCGGCCGGGCAAGUCGGAUGUGAAAUCCCGAGGCUCAACCUCGGAACUGCAUUCGAAACUGCUCGGCUCGAGUCCCGGAGAGGAUGGCGGAAUUCCCGGUGUAGGGGUGAAAUCCGUAGAGAUCGGGAGGAACACCAGUGGCGAAGGCGGCCAUCUGGACGGUGACUGACGAUGAGACGCGAAAGAGUGGGGAGCAAACAGG
This 253-nucleotide ribosomal RNA is filed under the name uncultured bacterium. RNAcentral's name for it is "partial 16S ribosomal RNA". It matches the Rfam family "Bacterial small subunit ribosomal RNA", at positions 524 to 776 of the family's 1533-position model. The record is from RNAcentral.